AACGUAGGGGGCGAGCGUUGUCCGGAAUUACUGGGCGUAAAGGGCGCGUAGGCGGUUAUCCAAGUCACAGGUGAAAACUACCGGCUCAACCGGUAGCCUGCCUGUGAAACUGGGUGACUUGAGGGCAGGAGAGGGGAGUGGAAUUCCCAGUGUAGCGGUGAAAUGCGUAGAUAUUGGGAGGAACACCAGUGGCGAAGGCGGCUCUCUGGCCUGUUACUGACGCUGAGGCGCGAAAGCGUGGGGAU
RNAcentral lists this ribosomal RNA (245 nucleotides) under uncultured bacterium. Its description in RNAcentral is "partial 16S ribosomal RNA". It matches the Rfam family "Bacterial small subunit ribosomal RNA", at positions 524 to 768 of the family's 1533-position model. The record is from RNAcentral.